RNAcentral lists this ribosomal RNA (493 nucleotides) under uncultured bacterium. RNAcentral describes it as "partial 16S ribosomal RNA". It matches the Rfam family "Bacterial small subunit ribosomal RNA", at positions 29 to 523 of the family's 1533-position model. The record is from RNAcentral.
AUUGAACGCUGGCGGCAUGCUUUACACAUGCAAGUCGAACGGUAACAGGUUAAGCUGACGAGUGGCGAACGGGUGAGUAAUGCAUCGGAACGUGCCCGGUCGUGGGGGAUAACGCAGCGAAAGCUGCGCUAAUACCGCAUACGAUCUGAGGAUGAAAGCGGGGGACCGUAAGGCCUCGCGCGAUCGGAGCGGCCGAUGUCAGAUUAGGUAGUUGGUGGGGUAAAGGCUCACCAAGCCAAAGGUAUGUAGCUGGUCUGAGAGGACGACCAGCCAAACUGGGACUGAGACACGGCCCAGACUCCUACGGGAGGCAGCAGUGGGGAAUUUUGGACAAUGGGCGAAAGCCUGAUCCAGCAAUGCCGCGUGCAGGAAGAAGGCCUUCGGGUUGUAAACUGCUUUUGUACGGAGCGAAAAGGUCUCCUCUAAUACAGGGGGCUCAUGACGGUACCGUAAGAAUAAGCACCGGCUAACUACGUGCCAGCCGCCGCCGUAA